GGGGGUGUAGCUCAGCAGGCUAGAGCGCGUGAAUGGCAUUCACGAGGUCACGGGUUCGAUUCCCGUCACCUCCA
This 74-nucleotide transfer RNA is filed under the name Spirochaetota bacterium. Its description in RNAcentral is "Spirochaetes bacterium tRNA-Ala". It matches the Rfam family "tRNA". From Rfam's summary of the family: Transfer RNA (tRNA) molecules are approximately 80 nucleotides in length. Their secondary structure includes four short double-helical elements and three loops (D, anti-codon, and T loops). Lineage: Bacteria; Pseudomonadati; Spirochaetota. The record is from RNAcentral. RNAcentral also lists the same sequence under 1 other name.